This 1744-nucleotide long non-coding RNA is filed under the name Homo sapiens (human). Its description in RNAcentral is "non-protein coding lnc-PGS1-1:17". Lineage: Eukaryota; Metazoa; Chordata; Mammalia; Primates; Hominidae. The record is from RNAcentral.
AGAGGCGGGGGCGCCGCUUCGGGAGAGCGGGCAGUUCUAGGAGGCCGACCUGGAGAGCCUCCCGGUUCCCCUUCCCCUUUUCCCGGACCCCGCGGGGACACCCCCUCGCCGCCACCCGGGCCUCCCCGAGGGCCCAACUGCGGGUCAGGCGGCCCGGGCCAGCCGAAAGGGAAGUGGGGCUACCCCACAGCCAGGCAGCGGGGCUGGGGUCAGACCCGGGAGCCGGAGGUUGGAGACGUGCGACAGUCACCUGCGGGCAGAUUCCAGAGGGGAGACCCAGGGCUGCAGGGGACGCCCCUUCGUGGCAGCUACCCAGCCUCGGCCCACUGCCAGUGUUACGUGGCUGCAUGACCAUACACUUCUGGGUAGAGCCCAGUGGAAGACAAAGAAGACUCAAGGAAUAGCCCUUGAGGGCUCAGGAGCUAUACAGAUGGGAUAGAGGGUGUGAGUGCUGGGAAGCCCCAUCCAUGGCUCGCUGGAGAUUAGAGGCCUGUUAAUCUGAAGACAAAGGAAUGAAGACGAAAACGUUUCUGAAAAUGUGGGUGGAGACACCUGGGCCUUUACAGGAUCCUGAACCAACUUUGAAGGCAGAGAAGUGGGCUAGAAGAAGUGGGGUUGGAGCCUCCACCAAGGACAAGAAGGCCUUAGCCCCCUGCUUCCAGCUCAAGCUGAAGUGGCUGUGAGCUGAGCUAAGAAGACCCCACUUCGCCAGGAGGAGUGCCUCACGCCUGUAAUCCCAGCACUUUGAAAGGCCGAGGCAGGUGGAUCACGUGAGGUCAGGAGUUUAAGACCAGCCUGGCCAACAUGAUGGAGUCUAGCUCUGUCGCCCAGGCUGGAGUACAGUGGCGUGAUCUCGGCUCACUCCAACCUCCGCCUCCCGGGUUCAAGCGAUUCUCCUGCCUCAGCCUCCUGGGUAGCUGGGACUACAGGCAUGUGCCACCCCGCCUGGCUAAUUUUUUUGUAUUUUUAGUAGAGAUGGGGUUUCACCGUGUUAGCCAGGAUGGUCUCGAUCUACUGACCUCAUGAUCCAACCACCUCGGCCUCCCAAAGUACUGGGAUUACAGGUGUAAGCCACUACACCCAGCCCCCAUCUUGCUUCUAGCCUUUAAGCAGUCCUUGUGGAUUCCUGGGUGUAGGCCGAACUAACUUUGGGAAGGAAUUCAGUUCAUGGUUUGACUCUGAAACAAAAUUGACAACAGCCCUUUCCCGAAAAGACCCCCUUCUUGCCUGGGGUCCAGUCGGCCUUUGCAGGACUAACAAAUUAGCUAUAAGAUUAGAAAUAAAAGUUUAGGGUCAUGCAGCCUCUGGCUCCAAGAAUCUGAACCUCCCCAAAUUGCUCCUGGGGAUAACAUCACUAUUGGAAAACCGCAGAUCAGUGCGUGAGAUAUUUUGCAGACUCUGCAUUCAUGGAUCAGCUGACACCACCCAGACCGGUUAUCUGGCUCAACCAGUUCUGCCAUCCCACCCAGGAAUAGAAGAUAGCAAGAAAAAUUCACUUCAACCUUCUACGAUUCCAUCUCCAACCUGACCAAUCAGCACUCCCCACUUCCCAAGCUCCUUUACUAGCCAAAUUCUCUUUAAAAACUCUGAUCCCCGAAUGCUUGGGGAGACUGAUUUGAGUAAUAAUAAAACUCUGGUCUCCCGCACAGUGGGCUCUGCGUGAAUCACUCUUUCUCCAUUGCAAUGCCUCUGUCUUGAUAAAUCAGUUCUGUCUGGGCAGCAGGCAAGGUGAACCCAUUGGGCA